GAUGAAGAACGUAGCGAAAUGCGAUAAGUAGUGUGAAUUGCAGAAUUCAGUGAAUCAUCGAAUCUUUGAACGCACAUUGCGCCCUUCGGUAUUCCGUUGGGCAUGCCUGUUCGAGCGUCAUUUAAACCUUCAAGCUCUGCUUGGUGUUGGGUGCUUGUUCCGCCUGCGCGCGCGGACUCGCCUCAAAUUCAUUGGCAGCCGGUAUGUUGGCUUCGUGCACAGCACAUUGUGUCGCGACUCCAGCCUGCCUCCUUCCAUCAAGCCCCCCUAUUACUUUGGCCUCGGAUCAGGUAGGGAUACCCGCUGAACUUAAGCAUAUCAAUAAGCGGAGGA
Molecule: unclassified non-coding RNA, 333 nt
Filed under: soil metagenome
Description: partial contains 5.8S ribosomal RNA, internal transcribed spacer 2, and large subunit ribosomal RNA
Rfam family: 5.8S ribosomal RNA (bases 1-120)
Source: RNAcentral